RNAcentral lists this long non-coding RNA (1144 nucleotides) under Sus scrofa (pig). Its description in RNAcentral is "lncRNA (ENSSSCG00070021860.1)". The record is from RNAcentral. Lineage: Eukaryota; Metazoa; Chordata; Mammalia; Artiodactyla; Suidae.
GCGCGGAGGGGAUGAGUAGAGAAGGGGUGUGUGUGAAAGCUCAAAGCCCUUUGUGGGGCCUUGGGCCCCCGCGGUCUGGGGGCUGUGCUGGCCCUGACCCUGGAGAGAAAGAGGCUCAGUGAUGUCUUCAGGCCAUUCAUUAUGUGCAGGCGAAUGACUUUGUAAACCUAAGAAAAAAAGAAUCUGUUGGAGAAAGCACAUCCGUGGAUUUCUUUAAGAAUGUUACAGAUGUAGAUGAAUUGGCUUGGGAAAGAGAGCACAGUCCUGUAGGGCCUGGCCACCCCGUGGAUGGAGCUGGACAGAUGGACCCCACAGGAAGGUUCUUGAAUGGCCUCUCUCCUGACACAUAAGGGAAAUUACAGGCAGAUCUGAAACCAAGUUUGGAUUUAAGUCAUUAAGAAAUCCCCCACAGGAAUGGAAUAAAUGCCUAAUUUCAGAUUUUGAGGUUUUUUUGGGUUUUGUUUUGCCUAUGUCUUGAGUGUCAGCCUCUUCUCCAGCUGAAACCCUGAACUGUCGCCACACCCCUAUGCAAGGCACUCUCCUGCAAGGAAAGCAAAACAAUAGCAGAGUAGGAAAGGAGACUGAGCCCCUUGUAUCCCAUCCCAGUGAACAAGUAGACUUUGAGAAAGACUUCUGUAUCACACACAAGCAGGUGAGCUAUAUUAUUGUCAAGGCACCUGAAAGCUGGAAGCUCCAGGCAAGGUGAGGAAAUAAUAAUAAUGUAAGUGAAGAAUAUAGAUCACAUCCUGGAGGUAUCUUUGCUGCAAAUGAUAACUUUUGAGCAUCUCCAACACAGGUCAUCAUGAUUUUGUGAUUUUGAAUUGUGGGGUUUUAGUUUUCUGUCUUUUACUCUAGGGUGCAAUUAACCCUAUUUCAUGAAAAAAACAAAACAAACAACACAACAACUUAGCUCUUGUGUCGAACUUUCCCCCCCAUGUCUCAAGAAGCUCAAGGUCAUCAGAAAAUUAGAGAUGUUAAGCUUUACAAACACCUGCAAUGAAACCACAUGUAUUUACAGUUGAAGGUUAAGACAUCGAACCUUAGGAGGUACACUGGGUUUUGAAAGUGACAUGUAAUGCCUUCCAGAUCUGCUUGGAUUUCUUUCCAGAAGCAUUUUGAGGGACUUAAUUCCUUGGUAUUUUAU